RNAcentral lists this ribosomal RNA (253 nucleotides) under uncultured bacterium. RNAcentral describes it as "partial 16S ribosomal RNA". It matches the Rfam family "Bacterial small subunit ribosomal RNA", at positions 524 to 776 of the family's 1533-position model. The record is from RNAcentral.
UACGGGGGGGGCAAGCGUUGUUCGGAAUUACUGGGCGUAAAGGGCUCGUAGGCGGCCAACUAAGUCAGACGUGAAAUCCCUCGGCUCAACCGGGGAACUGCGUCUGAUACUGGAUGGCUUGAAUCCGGGAGAGGGAUGUGGAAUUCCAGGUGUAGCGGUGAAAUGCGUAGAUAUCUGGAGGAACACCGGUGGCGAAGGCGGCAUCCUGGACCGGUAUUGACGCUGAGGAGCGAAAGCCAGGGGAGCAAACGGG